Molecule: long non-coding RNA, 1151 nt
Filed under: Homo sapiens (human)
Lineage: Eukaryota; Metazoa; Chordata; Mammalia; Primates; Hominidae
Description: HSALNT0135858
Source: RNAcentral
CUGAUCAACGGUUAUUACAGCUCUGGGGUUCCUUACAGUCAAAAGAUUUGUCUCUGUCAAGAUUUUUAGUAGAGGAAAAGGCAUUAUCUUCUAGAUAGGGUUAUAUAAAGCAGCUCUCCAGCAUUAAGAAACAUAGCUUUGCCAAUACUUCUGCUCAUUGCAAAGAAACAGGUGUUAUAGGCCCAGGGGUGAGCAUGCACAGAGAAAAGGCUUUGUGAGGACACAGUGAGAAGAUGGCUGUAUGCAAACCAAAGAGAGAGGUCUCCGGAGAAACCUGACCUGCUGACACCUUGAUCUGGGAUUUCCAGCCUCCAGAACUGAAGGAAGUGGCAGAUUCAUGAUGCAGAAGGGAGGAGAGAAGGCAGGAGGUGAAGGAGAUGGCACAGGCAGAGGUACAGAGUGGUGACUGAAACCACACGCCAUGUUGGGAGACUUCCAAACAAGUCUAGAGAGUUGGCACUUAGGGAUGAAGAAAUCAUCUUCUGGUGAGUCUGAGCAGUCCUUCCUGACCUGCCUAGCAGAUACACUAAGUUAGAACUGAUGCCAGUGGAUUAUUUAGGAUAUUGCUCAGGGGGUACACUUGGUCUUUCCUGAUGACGCUUUUAAGAGAAAGGCAGAGUUGACCCUGGGCUUUCAAAAAACUGUUCUUUCAGGGCAAAACCUCAGAGAGAACUGGCUGCUAGUGAUCCUCUGCAGAGACCUUGAAGAGCACGGCAAUUAUGAAACUUCAACAAGAAAAGAUUUAAGCUGAUCUUUUAAAAAAAUAUAUACUGUCAGGAAUUUUGUAGAAAUGACUUUAAUGUAAUAACUGCUUCUUUGACUUAUGUUUUGUCUUGUGGUGAAAAGAAAAAUAUUUAUAAAAGCAUGCCUGUGUCCUAAAAUUGGGGACACAAACUUAAAUGACUGAAGGCACUUGAGGAGUGGAGGCAAGGAUGGUGAAACCAGGCCCUGUACCAAGCAGGAGAGCGUGAACCUGCUAAAGAGAGUGACUGCUUCUCAUUUCCAGUCAAUGCGACUGGUGUCGCAUUCCAGUCAAAUGGAGUUGCGACACCAUUUCAGCCACAGCGAUUGAUCUGGAUUUUCUGUAAAAUUCCCUGAUUUUUACAUAUUGCCAAUUAAUUAAUUAAUUAAAAAGAAAUGUAGAUGUUCAA